This 382-nucleotide ribosomal RNA is filed under the name Azaisia obscura. RNAcentral describes it as "partial 16S ribosomal RNA". The record is from RNAcentral. Lineage: Eukaryota; Metazoa; Arthropoda; Insecta; Diptera; Rhinophoridae.
UCGAAGGUAGCAUAAUCAGUAGUCUUUUAAUUGAAGGCUGGUAUGAAUGGUUGGACGAAAUAUUAACUGUUUCAUAAAAAUUUAUAAUAAAACUUUAUUUUUUAGUUAAAAAGCUAAAAUUUAUUUAAAAGACGAGAAGACCCUAUAAAUCUUUAUAUUUAGUUUAUUAUAAUUUUAUAGAUUUUUUUUAUUAUAAUUAAUCAUUAUAUUUUAUUGGGGUGAUAUUAAAAUUUAAUAAACUUUUAAUUUUUAAAAUCAUUAAUUUAUGAAUAAUUGAUCCGUUAAUAAUGAUUAAAAAAAUAAGUUACUUUAGGGAUAACAGCGUAAUUUUUUUGGAGAGUUCAUAUCGAUAAAAAAGAUUGCGACCUCGAUGUUGGAUUAA